Heterocephalus glaber (naked mole-rat) is the source of this 762-nucleotide long non-coding RNA. RefSeq lists it as uncharacterized. NCBI's taxonomy places the organism in Eukaryota, Metazoa, Chordata, Mammalia, Rodentia, Bathyergidae. The record is from RefSeq and is a predicted model, not a curated record.
UCAGGUGCAUGUGGAUGGGAUGCAGAGCUCCACAUCUAUGGAACAGUGGGAGACACUAAGGAAGGAGGCAUGCACAUGACUGACUUCUGGCUCACAGAGAAAAACUUAAUCACAAAGCUGUUUGGCCCUUCAGUACCAACGUCAGAAUGGGGGCCUCACAAAAGGGAGCAGGGUGGGGCAAAGAUGGCAAUGAUGAAAUAUAAAGAAAAUCACCCUCCACCCCUCUUGUGCCUUGGAGAACAGCAACCUUACACUCCUAAACCAGCUGCUGUAGGGACUUUGGCAGGGCUAUCGCCAGAACCAGACACAAGUGUCCACAGCUCCCACACAGCUCAAUCACCAAGGAUUUAAUUGGAACCAAUUGGCUUUCUUCAGUGCCCAUGACCACAGGCCUUUGGAGUUCUUUUAAUGACUGAAAAGACUGGAGCUAGAGCUGUAAAAUAGAAUGGACAGUCUUAAUGGGGCCCAGAACCUGCUGGGGAAGCAGAUGGUCCUCUGUGAAUAAGAAAUAAAAUUCCUUACAUGAAUCUAGAACUGAGCACCUGGAAAUUCUUAGAAGAAGAUUACUUCCUGAUGGGUUGGAUCAUAAUACUUGAAAAAUGAAUUGCUCUACUAGGCUGAGAGAGAGAGGAAAGAAGGGAGAAAGGGAAGGAGAGAAAAAAGAAAAUGAAAGGAAGAGAAGAAAAAGAAAGAAAGAAAGAAAAAAUAAAAAGGAGAGAGGAAUGGAAAAGAAGAGAAAAGAAAACAGGUUAAUUCAGAUGA